GGUCCCGUGGAGCAGAGGCCGACUCGACACCCGGUCAGGGUGGAAUCGCCGGUUCGCAUCCGGUCGGGGCCG
This 72-nucleotide transfer RNA is filed under the name Streptomyces sp. Root264. RNAcentral describes it as "tRNA-Asp". RNAcentral also lists the same sequence under 5 other names. Lineage: Bacteria; Bacillati; Actinomycetota; Actinomycetes; Kitasatosporales; Streptomycetaceae. The record is from RNAcentral.